This 1093-nucleotide long non-coding RNA is filed under the name Felis catus (domestic cat). RNAcentral describes it as "lncRNA (ENSFCAG00000042334.2)". The record is from RNAcentral. Lineage: Eukaryota; Metazoa; Chordata; Mammalia; Carnivora; Felidae.
GAGCCAUCAGUCAAAGGAAGACAGACAGCCUAGCCCGGUGUUAAGAGGUAGAGAAGCUCACUUAGCCCUCUUCUCCACAAAGCUGUGGUAAGGGUGUGGGUGCAUAAUUCUACUACAGAGGAACACUAGUUUUGUCCAAUAAUACAAUUCAAAGAGAAAGAGAUCUGUGGGUCCACAGCAGAGGGCACAUCUGUAUGCUUUCUGAUAGUGCCCUGAGCAUGAUGAUGUCAGUGCUGAUAAUAACGACCAUCACAGCACUGAUAAUGAUAGCAGCCAACUAUUACUGAACACUAUGUGCCAGGCAUUGUGCUAAGCACUUUACAUUAAGCGACCUCAUUUUACCCUCACAGCUCUGUGAGGUACGUAAUUUGCACACCCUUAUUUUAGAGGUGAAAAUCUGAAGGUUAGGAAAUUGAAAAAACUUUGCCUCAGGUCACAGAGAUAUGGCAUGCCCAGGAUAUGCAUCUAAGUGAUGCCAAAGUUAGCCUUCUUAAAAAAUUCACGAUUCUGUCUCUCUACAGUGAAGCCACCAAAUCGGUUGCCUGAGGAACUUAGGCAGACAAAGCCAUCUGAAGCCCUGCAAAAAUGUCCUGUUUCUCUUGCAGGACACAGAGGUUGGCAAGCACCCCUGAGCCCAAGGAGUCUUGCGGACAGGGUGAACCACCAACAAUAACCAGAGGCAUGUGCUCCACUUCUCCACCCUCCCUGAUUGCAAUGACCCAGCAUAAAGAAGGAUGGAAAAAAGAAUGUCCAAGGAGGAGGAAGGGUGAGAAAGUGGCACAUUCCCUAUCAGGUAAGUGAAUUUGACACCCAUAUUCCUUAUUAUCCUUAGGGGGAAAAAAAAGCUUAGAAUGGUCUUUGUUUUUCAAUUUAGUACCCCCUACUUUUACUUUGUCUGGGAAGCAUUAUUUAUUUUGAUUUUGAUUUUUUUUUUAAAUUUUGUUUAACGUUUAUUUAUUUUUGAGACAGAGAGAGACAGAGCAUGAAUGGGGAAGGGGCAGAGAGAGAGGAAGACACAGAAUCAGAAGCAGGCUCCAGGCUCUGAGCCAUCAGCCCAGAGCCCGACGCGGGGCUCGAACUCACGGACCGCGAG